RNAcentral lists this ribosomal RNA (497 nucleotides) under uncultured bacterium. RNAcentral's name for it is "partial 16S ribosomal RNA". It matches the Rfam family "Bacterial small subunit ribosomal RNA", at positions 28 to 507 of the family's 1533-position model. The record is from RNAcentral.
GAUGAACGCUGGCGGCGGGCCUAAUACAUGCAAGUCGAGCGAACAGAUGAGGAGCUUGCUUCUCUGACGUUAGCGGCGGACGGGUGAGUAACAGGUGGAUAACCUACCUAUAAGACUGGGAUAACUUCGGGAAACCGGAGCUAAUACCGGAUAAUAUAUUGAACCGGAGGGUUCAAUAGUGAAAGAGGGUUUUGCUGUCACUUAGAGAGGGAUCCGGGCCGCAGUAGCUAGUUGGUAAGGUAAAGGCCUACCAAGGCAACGAUGCGUAGCUGACCUGAGAGGGUGAUCGGCCACACUGGAACUGAGACACGGUCCAGACUCCUACGGGAGGCAGCAGUAGGGAAUCUUCCACAAUGGGCGAAAGCCUGACGCAGCCACGCCGCGUGAGUGAUGAAGGUCUUCGGAUCGUAAAACUCUGUUAUUAGGGAAGAACAAAUGUGUAAGUAACUCUGCACGUCUUGACGGUACCUAAUCAGAAAGCCACGGCUAACUACGUG